AGAGUUUGAUUCUGGCUCAGGAUUAACGCUGGCGGCGUGCCUAAUACAUGCAAGUCGAAUGGUAGUAGCAAUACAAACCAUGGCGAACGGGUGAGUAACACGUAGGUAACCUGUCUUUAAGACGAGGAUAACCAUUGGAAACGAUGGAUAAUACUGGAUAGGACACCAUAAAGGGCAUCCUUAGAUGUUUAAAGAUUAUAAUGUCACUUAGAGAGGGGCCUGCGGCGCAUUAGCUAGUUGGUGAGGUAAGAGCCCACCAAGGCGAUGAUGCGUAGCCGGACUGAGAGGUUGAACGGCCACAAUGGAACUGAGAACGGUCCAUACUCCUACGGGAGGCAGCAGUAGGGAAUUUUCGGCAAUGGGCGCAAGCCUUGACCGAGCAACGCCGCGUGAACGAAGAAGUUAUUCGUAAUGUAAAGUUCUUUUAUCUGGGAAGAAAAAACAAAUUGACGGUACCAGAUGAAUAAGCUCCGGCUAACUACGUGCCAGCCGCUGC
RNAcentral lists this ribosomal RNA (496 nucleotides) under uncultured bacterium. RNAcentral's name for it is "bacterial SSU rRNA". It matches the Rfam family "Bacterial small subunit ribosomal RNA", at positions 8 to 518 of the family's 1533-position model. The record is from RNAcentral.